GCAGGAUUAGUCUAAUGGUUAAGGUGCGGACUCCCAGAUGAAAGUUUCUGGGUUCGAACCCCAAUGCCUGCA
Molecule: non-coding RNA, 72 nt
Organism: Merluccius polli (Benguela hake)
Lineage: Eukaryota; Metazoa; Chordata; Actinopteri; Gadiformes; Merlucciidae
Source: the annotation of a GenBank genome assembly